Molecule: ribosomal RNA, 245 nt
Filed under: uncultured Eubacteriales bacterium
Lineage: Bacteria; Bacillati; Bacillota; Clostridia; Eubacteriales
Description: uncultured Clostridiales bacterium partial 16S ribosomal RNA
Rfam family: Bacterial small subunit ribosomal RNA
Source: RNAcentral
UACGUAGGGAGCGAGCGUUGUCCGGAAUUACUGGGCGUAAAGGGCGCGUAGGCGGCUUGUUAAGUUGUAUGUGAAAGACCAGGGCUUAACCGUGGGGUUGCAUACAAAACUGGCGAGCUUGAGUGUGGUAGAGGAUAGCGGAAUUCCUAGUGUAGCGGUGAAAUGCGUAGAUAUUAGGAGGAACACCAGUGGCGAAGGCGGCUAUCUGGGCCACAACUGACGCUGAGGCGCGAAAGCGUGGGGAG